This 481-nucleotide ribosomal RNA is filed under the name uncultured bacterium. RNAcentral's name for it is "partial 16S ribosomal RNA". It matches the Rfam family "Bacterial small subunit ribosomal RNA", at positions 28 to 507 of the family's 1533-position model. The record is from RNAcentral.
GACGAACGCUGGCGGCGUGCUUAACACAUGCAAGUCGAACGCUGAAGCUCAGCUUGCUGGGUGGGUGAGUGGCGAACGUGUGAGUAACACGUGAGUAACCUGCCCCCUUCUUUGGGAUAACGCCCGGAAACGGGUGCUAAUACUGGAUAUUCACUGAUCUUCGCAUGGGGGUUGGUGGAAAGGUUUUUUUUGGUGGGGGAUGGGCUCGCGGCCUAUCAGCUUGUUGGUGGGGUGAUGGCCUACCAAGGCUUUGACGGGUAGCCGGCCUGAGAGGGUGACCGGUCACAUUGGGACGGAGAUACGGCCCAGACUACUACGGGAGGCAGCAGUGGGGAAUAUUGAACGAUGGGCGAAAGCCUGAUGCAGCGACGCGGCGUGAGGGAUGGAGGCCUUCGGGUUGUAAACCUCUUUCGCUCAUGGUCAAGCCGCAACAUUGGUUGUGGUGAGGGUAGUGGGUAAAGAAGCGCCGGCUAACUACGUG